AACGUAGGGGUCGAGCGUUAUCCGGAAUUACUGGGCGUAAAGCGCGUGCAGGCGGCGGGUCAAGUCGGACGUGAAAGCUCCUGGCUCAACUAGGAGAGGCCGUUCGAAACUGACCGGCUCGAGGAUGGUAGAGGCGAGUGGAAUUCCCGGUGUAGUGGUGAAAUGCGUAGAUAUCGGGAGGAACACCAGAGGCGAAAGCGGCUCGCUGGGCCAUCACUGACGCUCAGACGCGAAAGCUAGGGGAGAGAACGGGAUUAGAAACCCCCGUAGUCC
Molecule: ribosomal RNA, 273 nt
Filed under: uncultured bacterium
Lineage: Bacteria
Description: partial 16S ribosomal RNA
Rfam family: Bacterial small subunit ribosomal RNA
Source: RNAcentral